UGCGCAGGCGGGCUUGUAAGUCAGUGGUGAAAUACUGCCGCUUAACGGUAGAACUGCCAUUGAUACUGCGAGUCUUGAAUAUGGUUGAGGUAGGCGGAAUGUGUUGUGUAGCGGUGAAAUGCAUAGAUAUGACACAGAACGCCGAUUGCGAAGGCAGCUUACUAAGCCAUUAUUGACGCUGAUGCACGAAAGCGUGGGGAGCGAACAGGAUUAGAUACCCUGGUAGUCC
RNAcentral lists this ribosomal RNA (229 nucleotides) under uncultured bacterium. RNAcentral's name for it is "partial 16S ribosomal RNA". It matches the Rfam family "Bacterial small subunit ribosomal RNA", at positions 568 to 796 of the family's 1533-position model. The record is from RNAcentral.